Molecule: long non-coding RNA, 618 nt
Organism: Bactrocera tryoni
Lineage: Eukaryota; Metazoa; Arthropoda; Insecta; Diptera; Tephritidae
Exons: 2
Source: RefSeq, a predicted model, not a curated record
GCUGAAAGCGCGCGUACAUAAGAAAAACAAAGAAAGAUUAUUAAAAAAUACUCAUAAAUCGAUAUAUGCUUGAGUAAGAAUAUUAAAUGUGUACAACUAAUCGCUUAAUCCUUUAACUCAAAACUUCAUACUAAUUUGCGCAAACGGGGAGAAAACCACUAACCAAACUCAAACUCAACUAGAAGGCAGCGAGCGAAUUCAGUGAAACUCAAGGCAAACACAAAAAACUGAAACACGGAGUUAGCGAUUCGAGCAUUUUUUUUCAAGUUUUUAUUUUUAUUUUUCAAUUUUUUUCUUGCAACUACUCAAUGCACUGAACAUUUUUAGCUGUUGUUGUAAGAAAAAAAGCUUUUAACGGAACAAAAAUCAUUACCCAAAAGCUAAAGUAUUAGGAGAGAAAAAACUAAAAAUAUUGGAAAUAAGUGCAAAUAGCAGAAAUUAAUUAGAAGCUGUGAUUGUGUAAGCAAUGUAUAAAUUUUUGCUACUGGCAAUACUACGGGACUACAGCUAAGAAAAGAAAAAUAGGUUCUACAUUACGUAAUUGCUGCAUGCAAAUAUCAAGCGUAUUAUUACACUAGAGUACCGAAUAAAUAUUAAAAGCACUACUAUAUUAUACUA